This 3118-nucleotide long non-coding RNA is filed under the name Homo sapiens (human). RNAcentral's name for it is "non-protein coding lnc-ARHGAP26-4:30". Lineage: Eukaryota; Metazoa; Chordata; Mammalia; Primates; Hominidae. The record is from RNAcentral.
GCAAUGUGUCCAACUUAUCAUUUUUCUUCAAUUAGCUGAUUGCUACCUUUUGAGGUUUCACAGAGGAUCAACGUAAUGAACGAAGUCCUUACUUUUAUGUCUGAGGCAGGUGAGUAUUUCUGAGUCUGGUGGUCGUGUCACACAGUCAUCAUACACACUAUUUUAGAUGCAAAGAUCCUCUUUUCAACACCAGGAUGGGAACAGGGUCUCUCUGUGUGCACACAUCCCUGGUGUCUGGGUGUCCAAAUUUCCACCUCUUAUGAGGGCAUCAGUCAGAUUGGAUUAGGACCCACCCUAAUGACUCAUUUUAACUUAAUCACAUCUUCAAAGCCCUUAUCCCCCAAUACAGUCCCAUUCUGAGCUACUGAGGGUUAAAGCUUCAACACAUGAAUUGGAGGGGACACAGUUCGACCUGUAACAGGGCAAUGACAGAAUCAGGGAGACCAGUUACGAGGCUAAUGCCAUGAUCCAGGCAAGAGAUGAUGGUAGCUUGGACCAGAGUGAUAGGUGUGAAAGUGUGAGAAGUGGUCAGAUUCUGCAAAUAUCUUACAGGUGGGAUAGGAUUCAUUGAUAGAAUGGAUGUAGAGUGUGAAGAAGGAGGGGAGACAAGGAUGGCUACAGUUUUUUUUUUUUUUUUUUUUGUCAUGAGCAACUGGAAGCAUGGAGUUGACAUUUAUUGAGAUGGGAAAACUAUGAGAGGAGCAAAUUUGGAGGGGUCAGCUGGGAUGCCUCAGUUCUCCAUGUGGCCUCCCAACCUCCAGGACCUCUCUUCUCCAUGUGGCUUCUCCAGAAAGGUAGCCUGGACUUCUUUACUUGGUGGCUGGGCUAAAUAAAGAGGCUAAAGAGAAAGAGAGCAUACACCUAAAAUUUCAACCAAUGAAAUGUCCCAUGACUUCAUUACUUUUAAAAAAUGAUAUGAAGUCCAACUCCCAGCCCCUGUUCUAUCAGGCUUCAGGAAACUCCAUCUCAGUUAUUAUUACAAACCCUCCACCCUCCAGGUUCAGGAUUUGAAGCAGAGUAGUAACAUAAUCUGAUACUUUUUUUCUUUUUCUUUUUUUUUUUGAGACUUGCUCACUCUGUCACCCAGGCUGGAGUGCAGUGGUGUGAUCCUAGAUUACCAGCAAAAGCAGUAUGGCCUCCUUUAUCACUUCUAGUGGGCAUUUUAAUUACAUUCUUUCUUAUUUCUCUUUUUGUUUAGGAAUGAACAUAUGCAGUUUCCUACUAAGUUAUUUUAAAUCUUAUUCUCUGUCACCAUAAAAUUAAAUUGUAUUUCUGAGAAGUAUAUUCUUAUGAUGAGUUCUUUAUCUUUCAUGUUUUCCAUUCCCAUUUGGUGUUUCAGAACCUCAUGAUUAGCCAGCUAGUUCUUCUCCUUAUGAUGGUUAAUUUUACGGGUCAACUUGACUAGGCUAAGGGAUGCCCAAAUCGCUGGUAAAACAUUAUUUCUGUGUGUCUGUGAAGGUGUUUCUGGAAGAGACAAGCAUUUGAAUCAGUAGACUGAGUAAAACAAACUGCCCUCCCCAAUGUGGGCAGGAACCAUCCAGUCUGUUGAGGGUGCGGCUAGAACAAAAAAUCAGAGGAAGGGCUAAUUUUCUCUCUCUCCUCUUGAGCUGGGAUAUCCAUCAUCUCCUGUCCUCAGACAUCAGAGCUCCUGGUUCUUGAGGCUUCAAAAUCCAGGACUUAUACCAGCAGCACCUACACCUCCCUACCUCCCUUCCUAUGCCCUAACCCCAACGUAGACCUCUGACCUUGGACAGGGAGUUACGCUAUGAGUUCCCGUGUUUCUCAGGCCUGCGGACCAGACUGAAUUACACCACCAGCUUUCCUGGUCCUGCAGUUUACAGACUGCUUAUCAUAGAACCUCUCACCCUCCAUAAUCCCCAUCAUGAGCCAAUUCCCAAUGUAAAUCUCCUUUAUAUCUCUAUGAAUCCUUUUUGUUCUGUUUCUCUGGAGAACCCUGACUAAUAUCCCCUUCCUCUUUCUUCUUUUAUCUUCUAGUGAGGAUUGGAUUUGGUCGACUUCUGUCUUCAUUUUUGAGCCAAUUCCUCUUCAUAACCUUUGCUGUUCUUCACAAAGAAGGCCAUCAAAGGCUAAAUAAAGAUUUCUAUCAUAAAAAUCAGUCAUAUUUAGUCAUAAUCAUGUGUAUCUUAAGCACUUACCAUGUGUUAGGCACGAAGCUAAAAGUUUGUCUCAUUUAAUUCUCAAAAUGAAAUGGAUAUUUCUAUUAUCCCAUUUUACAGAAGAAGAAAAGCUCUGGGAAACUAAGCACACUUCCUAAGGUCUUAUGCUAGAGUGAGUGGCAGAGCCAGCUUUCAGGGCCAAGUGUCUGAUUCCGAGGUACACUCUUGAUUAGCCACCUCAUCUAUCAUUGGCCCAGGGGAUGGUUUUUCCAGGCUCGACUAGCCCAGUUUGAAAACAGAAGGACAUGGAGCUAUGUGAGCAUAGACCAUAGUUGCAUUCUUUGCACCUACAGGAAGUAAACAACAUGCCAAUCCAAGUCCUAAUGCAAAUAAGAGCCUAUUUGUUUUCUGAGUCAAUCCUUCAGGUAUUAUCUGUAACAGAUCUGUGGCUCCUCUGGUUAGACUGGGCCUUGAUUGAAUGUGAUGUUGCCGUCAGUCUAGAUUUGUGCUUACAUAUGUGACUGGUCCCCAGAUGCCAUACAACACUUAAAUGCAGCCCAGUAAUGGUUCCUGACCACCGCACCUCCACUCCAAGAACACAUAGCUGAUGCAGCUGCCGAGCUAUUUCCUAGCCUAAUUACUUUCUUUAUUUUCAUGCCUGGCCAUUGUUAAUGACAUUUGGCCAUCAAGCACACAGUAAAUAGAAUUAGGAUGUAUUGGAAAAAUAUGACUUCUGUACAGAAAGUUGAGAAUCCAGAAAUUGCCAUCUGGAUUUUAUGUCUUCUUGCACAAUAAGACAGCCUCUCAAGGCAGCACAUUUUGGGAGUAGCUUGGCAACAUUCAGCAGCAGCUUGAUUCCUCUUUCUUUAUCCUGCCUGCUCCCAGAUGCUGAGUCCUGCUCUGUAGCUUGAGUGGAGCAGGAGAUGGGUCCGUGGAGGAAAAACCUAAGGCUGUGUCUUCCUUGUUCUCUGGCUCUGACCACUGCCAGUCCAGCACAGUUC